GCGCACGGGUGCGUAACGCGUAUGCAACCUACCUUAAUCUGGGGGAUAGCCCGGAGAAAUCCGGAUUAAUACCGCAUAAAAUCACAGGAUGGCAUUAUCCAAUGAUCAAACAUUUAUGGGAUUGAGAUGGGCAUGCGUGUCAUUAGCUAGUUGGCGGGGUAACGGCCCACCAAGGCGACGAUGACUAGGGGAUCUGAGAGGAUGGCCCCCCACACUGGUACUGAGACACGGACCAGACUCCUACGGGAGGCAGCAGUAAGGAAUAUUGGUCAAUGGAGGCAACUCUGAACCAGCCAUGCCGCGUGCAGGAAGACUGCCCUAUGGGUUGUAAACUGCUUUUAUCCGGGAAUAAACCUUUCUACGUGUAGAAAGCUGAAUGUACCGGAAGAAUAAGGAUCGGCUAACUCCGUGCCAGCAGCCGCGGUAAUACGGAGGAUCCAAGCGUUAUCCGGAUUUAUUGGGUUUAAAGGGUGCGUAGGCGGCCUGUUAAGUCAGGGGUGAAAGACGGUAGCUCAACUAUCGCAGUGCCCUUGAUACUGAUGGGCUUGAAUGGACUAGAGGUAGGCGGAAUGAGACAAGUAGCGGUGAAAUGCAUAGAUAUGUCUCAGAACACCGAUUGCGAAGGCAGCUUACUAUGGUCUUAUUGACGCUGAGGCACGAAAGCGUGGGGAUCAGACAGGAUUAGAUACCCUGGUAGUCCACGCCCUAAACGAUGAACACUCGCUGUUGGCGAUACACAGUCAGCGGCUAAG
RNAcentral lists this ribosomal RNA (752 nucleotides) under soil bacterium Gent-S1N-M1LLLSSL-1. RNAcentral describes it as "bacterial SSU rRNA". It matches the Rfam family "Bacterial small subunit ribosomal RNA", at positions 98 to 851 of the family's 1533-position model. The record is from RNAcentral.